GGCAGCGGCGCUUCGCGUUCCGCGGGAGGGGCAGCACCGCCCCGCGGCGGCGCGGGCGGGACGAGGCGAAGGGCAGUUCAGCCACUGGAGGGCAACAUGAUCCUAGGCAGAGGAAGCACGACAGCCUGCAGAAUUAGGUAGCGUGCACCCCGCAAGCACCACCAAACUGCAGAGGAAUUUCUGCAUGCAGGAAUUCCUUGGAGAGAAGUGAGUCAUCAAGAUGACAACUGCUGGUUUCUGCAGGAUUUUUGUACUAGACAAGGAAAACAUUCUAUGGAAAUAAAUGGCAAAUUUAGCCAUCAAAAGAGACUUGAUUUUAGGGUGGAAGUAGAGCCUCAGAGCAAUCCUGCUGUAAUCGUGGGGCUGGCUGAAGUCACCACCACCACAUAAAACUUCUGCCUUACAGCCCAUUUCAAUAUUAGCAUUCAUUGCUUCAGUGGUGUGUAAUCGCACUGUAGAGGAGUCAGUAUUAUUUUCUGCUUUGAAGUCACUAAAGGUAGCUCUAUCAACACGUUUGGUGAGAACUGAGAUGUCAUUUACAAAUGACACUACAUGUGCCCUGGGAUGAUACUGUUUACUAUAUUCAAUAUUUGACCUUUUUUCUUUUACUAUGUGCAAAUACUAGGAAUCAUUUCUGCUCAUUUCUUAAGUCACAGGGGAGCUCAUUUGAAUAAAUUAAUGGAGGUUAAAAUUGCUUGUGUUUAUUAAUUCUGUGUGGAACUUUUACAUGGAUAAAUGUUAAGGAAAAUCCCCAUUAUGAUGGAAAGAUAUUCUAGUAAUUGCCUUUAAUUACAAGGGCAGCUUGCUACAAAUACAUUUAAAUGCAUCAUAGUGAAAGCAUUAGAAGCUGACACUUCCAUAGUUUAGGACAAGUAAUGUAAUUUAGAAAGACAGACUGAAUAAAAGGCAUGCUCUCCUUAGGCCAACUACCCUAGGAGCUGUUGGAUUCAUGCCCAGGACUGAUAUUGCAAAAGCCAUUCAGUGUACUUACAAUAUUUGGGGUUGUUAGGAUCACAAGUGCAGGCAAUUCAGAUAACCAGGCUAGAAUAAAUUAAGCUAUAUUUGUGUUAUAUCACAAUGAGCCAGUUGCUGUUAUUUUGUAGUAGAAAUAAUUUAUUCACUUACCUUAUCACUGUAGGAGCAGAAAGAAUUUGGCAUGCAUAUGAAAAUAGUCAAAGGCACCUUCAAAUAUAUUGGUCUUAAUAUACAUUACCGAUGUAUGAACUUGUAAUAAACCAAGCCCUGAGGGAAUAUGUUGCCUGGGAGGUGGGUUUUUAUCCUGUUUGCCAGGCAGAACAUACUAUGAAAUUCAGCAGUUAUCCUUUUUUAUCUUGUGAAGUUGAAUUUUCAGCUGAAAGAAAUGGUUGGGAAAAGGAGCCCUAAGACAGGGAGAUCACAUCUGGGCAGAAAUUUUGUAUCUUAGAGCAUUCCAGGUCAAAUUAAUCCAUGGCAUGCCUAAUUUCAACGGAUGCAAACCACAACAGAUUUUAGCUUCUCUGUUUUGCGGGGAAGAUUUAAUGUUUUAGCAUGCUAAAAGCAAGAGCAUUUUUUUAACACAGGGACAAAUACAUUGUUGGCCUGACUUAGGUGUUCUCUUUAUCUUAAUGCAUUCUGACAGACUUCAGCUACUGUCUAAUGACAAGAAAUCACGAAGACUGAAAGUUAAUGGAACUGGGGGGAAAUCCAUGAGAGCCCCUCAAGCCUCGUUUCUCUGGGCUGCUUGUUCACAUGCAGUCACACUUCACUUGUUUAUGUGAAAAGAUGCUUAGGGGGCUUUUUUAACCCCCCUGGCAAUUUAACCUGAUCCGACACACAACUACAAGCCUUCCUGCAUCAUUAAGUGGCUGCCUGUUUGAAGAGAAAUCAUGCUUUAGUAGGCAAGAAAGCAAACAUGAUAUCCCUUCUAAUUUGCCAAAUUAAUUAAAACGUUGCAUUUCCAACCAGAUUAGCCCCCUGCAUUUGCUUCAACCUCUUUUUGUGAGUUUCCAUUUCCAUACAGGGUAUAAACUUGGAUGGACUAAUCUACUCAGAAAUUAAUCCAUGUUAAACUAACUGCUUCCAUGUUGACAAGUCUUUGGAAAUAAGCAGGAAAGGCACUGGUCCCACAAAUAAUUCAUUGUCUGGGACAAAAAGGGCUUGCAUAAAUUUUGAGCAAAAUCGUGUCCAUCACAGCACAGGAAUGUGGGCUAUGCAUCCUUCUUUUCUCUCUUCAGUGCUAGUGUAAUUGCGUGCUUCAGUGUGCAAGAGCAGAUUGGAGUGGUUUUUCUUAACUAGCAGUUGCAGCUUUGAAAAGGUAUCCCUGGGGAUGGCCACACAGAUCCAUGGAGCAGCUGAUAGUUUCAGAGUGAGGAAUUGCAGGUUCCCAGCCCUGGGGUUCAAAGCAUGGGCCUGAUGGAUUAGAAGGGUAAAUUCAAGAGACUAGUUAUGGUUAAAAGCACAGUUUACACUGUGAUUGUUUCAGUUCUCAAAGAAACUGAAUGGGAUAGGUAAGUCAGCAGGCAGAAUUAGCACCUUCUCUCCCCCUGGUGAAAUACAUGGUGCAGUCAUACAGGUGUGUUUUGCCUGGUGCAAAGGUCAUCCAUAGGAGUCUCUCCCACUGCUAACCAUUAUCUUAUAAAAUUAUAAACCUUGUACCUCAAAGGUGAGAACUGCAAAGACUAAUGAGCUAAUUCUCUGGGCUCACUACCCUCCACCUCAUGCUGCCACACCAGGAAGCUGAGUGUCCUUCACCAGGUUCUUCAUUGGAGGUGGGAAGUCCCCAGCGUACACCCACCAUGCAGGGAAUCCUGUUCCCUUGACAAUGUUUGCAGCAGGCAUCACACUGAAAGCACCUUCCUGGUAUUUCCAGCUAUUGCAUUGGCCAUGGCACUGCCCGUUUGAGAAAAUCACCUGCAGGUAGCCUUUUGGCUGGAAGAGUUGUUACACUAAGCUGUGCUAGCUCUUGGCUAGGAAUUUCAUUUGGGCCUUCCAAAGAUUAAUGACUCUUUCUUAGAAGAAAGAAAAUGCCAAAUGUGUUUGCCCUGUGCUAGCAGGAGGGUAGGACUGUAGUAAGACAGUGUGGGAGAGCACCAAGGGUAUCAUUUAAUAUUUAGACACCUCAAAAGAACUGUUUUGGUGGAUUCUCCUUCGACUUAUCAGAGCCAUGGCUGGAGUACUUAGGGGUUGUAAGAAAUCUUCCCAGCACAGC
Long non-coding RNA from Falco peregrinus (peregrine falcon), 3187 nucleotides. RefSeq lists it as uncharacterized. NCBI's taxonomy places the organism in Eukaryota, Metazoa, Chordata, Aves, Falconiformes, Falconidae. The transcript has 3 exons. The record is from RefSeq and is a predicted model, not a curated record.